GUCCACGCCCUAAACGAUGCGCACUAGAUUCGAGUGCCUCUGACGGUUCUCGGGUCGAAGCAAAGUGUUAAGUGCGCCGCCUGGGGAGUACGGCCGCAAGGCUAAACUCAAAGGAAUUGACGGGGCUCACACAAGCGGUGGAGCAUGUGGCUCAAUUCGAAGCAACGCGAAGAACCUUACCCGGGUUUGACAUGCUGGGAUUAGUCCGCCGAAAGGCGGAUGACGCGGCUUGCCGUGGAACCAGCACAGGUGCUGCAUGGCUGUCGU
This 267-nucleotide ribosomal RNA is filed under the name uncultured bacterium. RNAcentral describes it as "partial 16S ribosomal RNA". It matches the Rfam family "Bacterial small subunit ribosomal RNA", at positions 793 to 1055 of the family's 1533-position model. The record is from RNAcentral.